RNAcentral lists this ribosomal RNA (465 nucleotides) under Vreelandella stevensii. Its description in RNAcentral is "partial 16S ribosomal RNA". It matches the Rfam family "Bacterial small subunit ribosomal RNA", at positions 338 to 795 of the family's 1533-position model. The record is from RNAcentral. Lineage: Bacteria; Pseudomonadati; Pseudomonadota; Gammaproteobacteria; Oceanospirillales; Halomonadaceae.
CCUACGGGAGGCUGCAGUGGGGAAUAUUGGACAAUGGGGGGAACCCUGAUCCAGCCAUGCCGCGUGUGUGAAGAAGGCCCUCGGGUUGUAAAGCACUUUCAGUGAGGAAGAACGCCUGGUGGUUAAUACCCAUCAGGAAAGACAUCACUCACAGAAGAAGCACCGGCUAACUCCGUGCCAGCAGCCGCGGUAAUACGGAGGGUGCGAGCGUUAAUCGGAAUUACUGGGCGUAAAGCGCGCGUAGGUGGCUUGAUAAGCCGGUUGUGAAAGCCCCGGGCUCAAACUGGGAACGGCAUCCGGAACUGUCAAGCUAGAGUGCAGGAGAGGAAGGUAGAAUUCCCGGUGUAGCGGUGAAAUGCGUAGAGAUCGGGAGGAAUACCAGUGGCGAAGGCGGCCUUCUGGACUGACACUGACACUGAGGUGCGAAAGCGUGGGUAGCAAACAGGAUUAGAUACCCUUGUAGUC